CCCCUGGGGAGAAAAAAGUACCUAGUUACUCUUUGAAAGUGUAUUCAUUUGCCUGGAACUUCACAACGUAACUAAUAAGAAAGGGAAUGCUGCUGUAAUAAGUAAAUUUAAUACCAUUUAAAGCUUUAUAAUCUUAAAUGUUUACAUUUUAGGGAAUGGUUAAAACUAUGUUACUUUAUACAACAUUUUAAAAUUAAAGUUUACAAUUUGAAACCACAAAAGUAUCCAAGUAUAGAAAAAAAUAUAUGCAAGCAUAACAUAGUAAAACACACAGACACACAUAAGCAGGCAACACUAUGGCUGAGUAUUUAGACUGUACUAUAAUCACCUGAGAGUCAACAUGGUAUAGUAAUGGUUUGUGUAAUUUACUACAAGUAUGGGUUUUAAUUUCCCCUCAACCAUGGAAAUCCAUUGGGUGACUUUGGGCAAGUCACUCUCUCUCAGCCUCAGAGGAAGGCAAACUUCCUCAGGACAAAUUAUGCCAAGACAACCUAAGAAUAUGGUUACCUUAGGGCUGGAAACAACUUGAAGGCAGAGCAAUCAUGCCUCAGAUAUAAGCUAAGAAGAAACACUGACAGAAUGAGGCCAGGAGCAAUGCUUGUAACCAAUGGUUACCUCAAGACUUCCAAAAGGUUGAAGCUUCAGUAUUAGUUUGGAACAAAUCUUCACCAGAUGUCAUCUAUGCUGUUUUCAAGCCUGACAUUAGAUGCAAUCUUUGAUUCUGAUUUCCCAACUGUAUUAACCAGAUUUUGAGCUUGAAGCAGCCCUUUUCAGCAACCACUAUUUGAAACUUCGUGUUAUUUUCAUUUUAAAAUCCAAUUUUGUACCCAAUAGGUUUUUAAAAAUACCAUUCUUAAGGGUUUUUUUUACUAGUGUGAUGUCAUGAUGUGUUUAGACAUACUCUGAAAUUCUCUUGAUCAUGAAGAUAUACUUCCUGCCUUGCAAGGAGUCUCUUUUUUUGUUUUAAACCAGGAUUUCUGUAUAUGAUAGGGAUGGGAGAGAAAUAGCUGGUGGAUUUUGCUUUGAAAAUGUUUUGAAUUAGAGGGAAUAACAAAGAACGUUAUAUUUAUUUUGUGCAAGUUGUCAUUUGAAUACAGAUCUAGACACGUUUCAUUAUUUUCUGAAUGUAUAUUUUCUGAUUGUAUAUUAGACUGUUCUUGCCAAACAAUUAAUAAAAAUAAUUAAACAACUACCAUUUAAAAACACAACACUGUAAUUAUAAAAGUCUUUUAUGAAAACAAAGAUGCGGUUGCAUUUAACACUGAAGAUGGCUGCAUCUCAUUUAUUGCCCAGAAGACUUCAUCUCAGAUUUUUAAAAUGGUUGAUGUUGAAGAUACUAGGGUAUAGUAACUGAAGCAACUCAGGGAACAAUGGAAUUUUACUGGAGAGUAUGACUCUGCUGCUAUAUUGUGUGCCUCAAACAUUUUGGCACACGUGCCUACACUUCGUCUAGGAAUGUGAGCUACUAAGGCUGCAGCAGACAAGGAGAAAAUAACCUUGAUGAUUUUGCACUGAAAUCCUUAAUUGAAAUGGACAAAUACAGACAUUAGACUUGUAAAUUAAGUACUCUAAAAUCUAAAUCUAGCCAUGCCUCCCUACCUUUUGCUAAACAAACAUGACUAUCCUUUUAAUUUUGUCUACCUGUAGACCACUCUUCCCAAGUACUCUACUCUUUGUGAGUCUGUGGAUGGAUCUGCAAUGUAAAAUGAAUGCAGUUUAACACUGCUUUAACUGCCAUGGUUCAAAGCUAUGGAAUCAUGGGAGUAGUUUGGUAAGGUACCAGCACUGUUUGUCAAAGAAGGUUAAAGACCGUACAAAACUACAAAUGUAAGCUGUGACAGUUAUAGCAGUUUCAAACUGCAUCCACUCCACUAUGUAAAUCAGGGGUCCCCAAACUAAGGCCUACAAGCUGGACACAGCCCUUCAAGUUCAUUUAACCCCCCCCCCCCCCCGUAAACUUGAGACUUCGGGAGGCUCAAAUCUGAAACGAACUGAAGACACACAACAACAACAAUCCUAAUUAACUUGGCUAUCUCAUCAGCCAAAAGCAGGCACACACUUCCCAUUCAAAUACUGGUUAGUUUAUGUUGGUUAAAAUUGUUCUUCAUUUUAAUUAAUGUAUUGUUCUAUAUUUAUUUUGGAAUUAGUUUAUUGGAAUUAGUUUAUGGUUUUUUCAAACUAUAGCCUGCCCCCCCCCCCCAACAGUCUGAGGGACCAUGAACUGGUCCUCCACUUAAAAAGUUUGAAGACCCCUGGUGUAGAUGCACCCUGAGUUUCACAUAGUCACACUUUAUGAUACUUUUGCCAGCUGACAAUCUUGUCAAGUAGGAUUUCUAUCUUCUAGCUGAAUGCCUUUUCUUGCAGUUCUAAAGUCCUAUUUUCCUAUUGAAUCCAGAAGAAAUGUUUAUGUGAUCAAAUCAAUCUGCUCCAUUUAUUUGAGUAAAUUCCACCCAUGGUAAAGCCAACAACUGACUGAAUCAUCUUCUCAUUUUUUAAAGUAUGUUGUGCAACAUGAAAAUAACUACAGAGUGGUCCAAAAAUAUUUUGGAGGACACAUGAAAAGCUUCAAUGGUGGAAGUGGUAUAAUCUCCUCGCUACAUUAUCUUUUUGCAAAUCUGACAUCAGCUCACAAGCCCUUUAUCAACUGAAGAUGAUUUCUGAGAAUCAUCAAUAUUCAGUAUUACUUUUGGCCAAUCACUCACAUCUGUUUUCUUACUGUAUCUCCAUUAUAUAUUCUCAACCAGAAGGCUGCAAAAUUAUCAAUGAAAAUGUAACCAAACAUUUUUCUGACAACAUUUUCUAAUGAAUGCAUUAACCCUUUUCUUCAUGCUACGUAAUUGUUCCAGUAUUCAUAUUUUAAAGAGGAAAAUUUGUUUUAUUAUCACUUGUUGUGUAUUCUUAAAUUGAGAGCCACUAUACUUUAUAAGGUAAAGUUCCUGGCAUUGUUUUUGUUUGUUUUGUAGUAAAGUGUGUGUCUAAAUUUAUAACAACAGUUGAGUGACAGGAAAAAUCUGCCCAGGCAAUUCAUGACCCACAUUUUAUCUGUAUUUAAUCCAUCUUUGUCCCUUUUGAGACAUCAGCCUCCUUCUUUUGGAUCAGAGUUCUUGUGUGGUCUUUGGUUUAACUUUCGAGACAUGCAUAGGAGGUCAAUUGCUUGUGAUGACAACCUCAGGCUUUUGUUUGAUAUAAAUAAUCAAAUAUGUAGGAAUCUGACAGGAGUUAAAGGAGGGGAAGGAGAAGCCAAAGAAAUUCUCCAGUUAGGACAGCUGAGUCUCUGAAAGAAGCUCUAACUUGGUAUUAUACAACUAGCAGUCUAGAGGCCAAAUCCAAUUAUGAAUGACAUCCACUUGGCCUAUCAUGUACUUUGGCCAUAUAUGAUAUAGAAACUGGCUUAUGUUUCUAGCAUUUUCUCUAACCAUGUCGGUGCUUUCAGUACAAAAAAAAUUGAGGCAUUCUAGAUUAGCUCAUGCUCAAAACCUGAACAUAAGCAAUAAGAUAUGAUGCACGGAAUUAAUUUUAUUUUACUGAUGGAUUAUAGCAGGAAUAGGAGCCCCGGUGGCUCAGCGGGUUAAACCCUUGUGCCGGCAGGACUUCUGACUGACAGGUCGGAGGUUUGUAUCUGGGGAGAGUGGGUGAGCCCCCUCUGUCAGCUCUAGCUCCCCAUGCAGGGACAUGAGAGAAGCCUCCCACAAGGAUGGUAAAACAUUUGGGUGUCCCCUGGGCAUCGUCCUCGCAGACAGCCAAUUCUCUCACACCAGAAGCGACUUGCAGUUUCUCAAGUCGCUCCUGACACACACAAAAAUAGUAGGAAUGGUACCUGGUCCUGUUUUCAUUUUCUCUAUCAAUCUCUCUACACACUAUCCUGGGUUUUUAAGAUGUCAAUGCUAAACUGGCACAUCUGAUAUCCUGCUUGGUUUCCUGCUUGAUUUUUCCCAGGUGAGAAGCAGCCAAGUGCAGUUUCCUGAGUAAUGCCACUGGCCAGGUCAAAAAAGAAUAUAAGGAAGUCACACAGUAUUUCUUUUGGAACUAAAUGCUUCUUCUCAUGAAAACCACAGGGACUUCUACAAUAUCUGUUAUGGUUGAGCCUUCUGGCUCCGAUACUAGGAGACGGGGUCGUAAGACUCCUCGAGAGUCAGACUCUUUUGAGGAGCACGAAAGGAAACGGCUCCGGGACUUAUUUGCAGAACCAACAGAUGAAGACUCAUUUGAGGGUUUUACCGAGGGAAUGGAGGAAGAGAUGGUUAGCUCAGAGGAGGAUGACAUGGAGUGGACUCGUGUGAGGGAGGAUUUGGGUGUCACCGGCAAUGAUAGCAUGGGAGGCGAUUGGCGGGUUGCAGGAUCAGACCCAUGGACGGGCUGGAGGGAUGGAGCGGGAUCCACAGCUGGGGAUGCUGUGGGGCGUAGUCAAAGGUGUUUUCGCUCUGAUGAGGAUGAUGAUGAUGAGGCACCUGGAAUUAGGAUAGCAGCUGAUAGCGAUGAGGAGUUAUGAACUGGGAUAAAAUGGGGUUUAGGAUCAAUGGCUAAUUGCGUUGGGCAAGGUAAUCUGGACGAACGCUUGGGCUCUUGUUGGGGAACUUCCUGAAGACGGGUGUGAUUCGUUGCUGGAUACCUUGGACCUCCGUCGUCUUUUUGACGGACAUUAAUUACCUACUCUGGAUUGACGCUGGACUGACUGACUACGACCUUGGACUAUCCCUUCUCUGGCUAUCGGUGGAACUUGUGGAACUUUAGACGUCUGCGCUUGGCUUUCGACCUUGGACCGGAUUGGGACCCUGUUGACCGCCGUUACCCUGAUUGAUGUGCCUGGACCUGGAUUUCGCUCGUUGCACGGAGGAGUAAACAGCCUGAGUUACUCAUCUGUAGCUUUUGAGUAGCAGAGAGGAAUCUGCUGCCAGUUUUUUGUGUUCAUUUUGACCUCUGUUUACCAACUUUUGUUUGUUUAAAUUGCCAGGCUGAAGUAAGCACUUUUGAUUUAAUCCGGAUUAAACUCCUGUUUAAUCCGGUUUAUUCUUUCGAACCGUUUUAAUUCAAACGAAGCUGUUUCUGUUACUUUUCACACUGAAGACAAGUGUUUGCCUAGUCCUUUGUUUCCUACGGGCAUUUUUUAGUUCUGUAACCUCAAUAAACUGUGUUGUACUCUA
Molecule: long non-coding RNA, 5141 nt
Organism: Anolis carolinensis (green anole)
Lineage: Eukaryota; Metazoa; Chordata; Lepidosauria; Squamata; Anolidae
Exons: 2
Source: RefSeq, a predicted model, not a curated record